This 482-nucleotide ribosomal RNA is filed under the name uncultured bacterium. Its description in RNAcentral is "partial 16S ribosomal RNA". It matches the Rfam family "Bacterial small subunit ribosomal RNA", at positions 30 to 507 of the family's 1533-position model. The record is from RNAcentral.
AUUGAACGCUGGCGGCAUGCUUUACACAUGCAAAUCGAACGGUAACAGGCCGCAAGGUGCUGACGAGUGGCGAACGGGUGAGUAAUGCAUCGGAACGUGCCCAGUCGUGGGGGAUAACUACUCGAAAGAGUAGCUAAUACCGCAUACGAUCUAUGGAUGAAAGCGGGGGACCGUAAGGCCUCGCGCGAUUGGAGCGGCCGAUGUCAGAUUAGGUAGUUGGUGGGGUAAAGGCUCACCAAGCCAACGAUCUGUAGCUGGUCUGAGAGGACGACCAGCCACACUGGGACUGAGACACGGCCCAGACUCCUACGGGAGGCAGCAGUGGGGAAUUUUGGACAAUGGGCGCAAGCCUGAUCCAGCAAUGCCGCGUGCAGGAAGAAGGCCUUCGGGUUGUAAACUGCUUUUGUACGGAACGAAACGGCUCUGGUUAAUACCCGGGGCUAAUGACGGUACCGUAAGAAUAAGCACCGGCUAACUACGUG